AUGACACCAAGUCCACAGAAUGCACCGGGACCUGGUGGGCCGGCCAUACCUCCAUGGCGCAUUCCACGUCCCUGGCCUGGACCACCACAUGGGCCCUCGAGGAGAGGUAGAGCUCAGGUGAGCAGGAGCCUGCAUCCCGUAGGCUGUCGUAGAGGCGGGUGUGGAAGAGGCCAGGGAGCAGAGCAAGCAGGAUGUGGAACAGGACUGCCACUAGGGCGAAGGCCACCAGAAGUAUCAGCCACAGCCUGGCAGGUCACUGCUCCAGGUGACUGCUAGGGCCUGCAGGCCCCUACUAGGUUGCUAUCACCAGGACUGCUGUCCAAGACGGCACCUACCCUAUGCAGGUGAUGGAAACGCCCGUGGGUCUGCAGAAGCUCGAGCACGUAGCCGUACAGCAUGGCGCCGGCGUUGCUGACCACGUGGGAGAGCAGGAGGUCCCGCUCAGUCCCAUAAGCAAACUGCAGCUCCAGCUCCUUCUGGGCCAACACGGAGAAGACCAUGUAUCCUGGGACCUCGUAUCGGAUCGCGAUGCAGCCCCUUUUCCAGUAGAUGGCGCUGUACUUGACCAGCUUCUUGUCCCUACAGCGCCCCCUAGCCCAAGAGAAUCGCCGCAGGCUGUGCAUCCUGGCCUCCUUCCCACCUUGUCCCCUCCGCGUGCACAGUUCGUCAAGAAAUCUUCGGAGGAAGGGGUCAGCUCCCUUGAACUCACAGGUCAGGCAAGAAGAGGGCGGUGUGUGCCCAAGCGCCUCGAGGACUGCCACCGACACCGCAGGUGCCUGCAUCUUACCCCAGCCAGUCGGCAGCCGGGUCGGGGCAAGGCGAUACCCAUUCCUGGUCGUCCGCCUCAGGCUCAGAGCUCGCCCUUGCCUGCUGCCCUACGACUGCACUGAGGCUCCGGGUGAUUUCAAAGCUUCUGACGCCCAGCCCACUCCAGCCGCAGCUCGGACAAGGUCAGCCGCUUCUUCAAGGCGGAGACUGUCCUGUCCUUACAGGGUGCGUAGCAGCACCCAUGGUGUCUGCCCACCAGCUGCCACGUGCAUUUUCCAACAGUCCCAGAUCACCGCCGGGCACCGAGCAAGCGUGCCCUGGGUGAAAUGACACCCAGUGGAAAACUCGCCUUUCCCUUCAGCAAGAAAGCUCGCUCCGUGUCCACUCCCAGCCUCAGGUUCCCCAUGCUGGGCCGAGGCCUCUGUCUCCUCUAGGGGAGCCGGGUCAUGGUACACCGGGCCUUCCAGGAAUCGGCUGCGUCUGCCUGGUUCACGGCCAGAGCCUCCGGCCACUGCCUGCCGUGUAGCAGGUGCCCGGGGGAUAUUGGUGGAAUCGAACUGAACUCACCCACAACAAAAAUGGCUGUCUGCAUAACCGUGGUGGACAUGGGGACUGAAUCGAUUUUCAUGUUACUUCAAGCCCCAAAGCCUGGGAGUGAUGCUGACCGCUGUCCCCUAGGAAGACGGUGCCCUCCUCACUGGCCCAUCCUGAACCUCUCUGAACCCUUGGUCAUCUCCCUGGGCGCUGGACUGCCCAGAAGGCCUCCCCAUGUCCCCCCUCCCCCAAACUCCCCAGUGGAUUUGCUGAUCGCUGGAUCAGGGGACUCUGAAUCCUAACACUCUAGAUAUUCUGACUCUAAAGGCUGUGACAGAGGAUCCUGUGUUACUGUAACUCCGUAAGACUUCUCCUUGGGGGGUUUCCUGUCACUGUUACUUUACUUGAUAAACUGUAGCCACACGCUGAUGACCUGAUUUCUUAUCAACUAGGUUUCACGCUGUGUAACAAACAUGGGUAUACUGAAA
Molecule: long non-coding RNA, 1790 nt
Filed under: Chinchilla lanigera (long-tailed chinchilla)
Lineage: Eukaryota; Metazoa; Chordata; Mammalia; Rodentia; Chinchillidae
Description: lncRNA (ENSCLAG00000029027.1)
Source: RNAcentral